RNAcentral lists this long non-coding RNA (2152 nucleotides) under Heterocephalus glaber (naked mole-rat). Its description in RNAcentral is "lncRNA (ENSHGLG00000043986.1)". Lineage: Eukaryota; Metazoa; Chordata; Mammalia; Rodentia; Bathyergidae. The record is from RNAcentral.
CCUGGCUUCCGGCCCAAGAGCCCUCCCAGAAAGAUACCUGUAAUACCGCCCGUAAUGAUGGGCUUACACAUUAAAGGCCAAUUGGCAAAAAAGAGGGACUUAGAUCGGGGGAACACCAGAAGUUAGCCGAGUACCAGUCGUUUUAACGAGUGUAGUUUAUAUUCAGAGAAAUUCUGGCAAAUAUAGCCCUUUCUAACAUGACAAACAGCGAAGAACAGGAAGGCCAGAAUGCAUAAAGGGGGGUGGGGUGUGUGCGCGCUAACAUUUCUGACCAAACCUCGAUAUUUGCGCCCUCUGCUCUGAUGUCCCUCAUUGACCACGAGGGUGCUCCUGCUUUAGCCAGUGGCUCUGCGAGCUGUAUUUUAUAAACAGGGGAUCCCAGGCACCCAAAUAACCAGGUCGACGCCCCCAUCCGGACCAGAGGGGCAGUUUCCGGUUGUGUCCUGACCGCUGGCCCUCGUCGCGCCUGGAGGUGACCGCUGUACACCGUCAAGACCCACGGUCACUCGUCCAGAGGAAGAAAAGAAGCAAUCUCAGCAGAUGCAGGGCCCGGCGCGCCGGUGGUGGAGUUUCCAAAAGCCCUACAGGUGAUGCCACCCCGACGCCCCGCGACGCUGGCCCUGGGUAGUCUCGACCCUCUCCGGCUCCGCAGCUUCCCCCGACCCCGCGGGACGGCCGGGGCUUCGGCGGCGAGACUUGGGAAAGUGUCCCCUGCUCUGCGCACCUCCCUCGCUGCGCGGACCGCGCGCUGGAUGCCAGAGCCACGGUGAGUCCGGAAGGCGACGGAGCAGACCACUUGCUCCAGCAACCCCCCCCGCGGCGCCGCCGCCUGUCUUUCGCGCCUCUUUGGGACCCGAGGCCCCCUAAUCGCGGGGAAGCCUGAGCCCCCCUGGCCCUCCCGCCCCGAGUCCACACCCCUCCAAGGAGCAUCCUCUCCGACCCGGCUCUGUGGCAGGUGGUACAGUCAGGGCGGGCUCAGUGACCUCGUCUGCAGCCCCUUUCCUGACCACGGGGCCGGCUGCUACCUCGCCCUCCUUUCCCAAGUUGCUCCACUCCCCUCCACCCCCAAACUCCAGACCCCCUCCGUCGCGCCGGCAGCAGUCUUACCUCACCAUGCAACACUUGGUUGCGCGGUUGCCCGGGGCGCUCCUUCCUCACAGUUUAUUCCCUUACUUGGGAGGAAAGAGGAACCGAGAGACGGAAAGGGGACCGAAGCUGGCGUAAGGGCGUCUUCCCGCCCGCGCAGCCCUCUCGGGGGAGGGGGAGGAGGCGGGGGAGGGGAGCCCCGGGGCGCGCAGCGGAGAUCGGGCGACCCGCCUGCGGGCAGGCAGCUCCCGGGUCCUCGGCCUCCGCCCGGGGAUCUGCGGUUCCCCAGCGGUUCGUCUCGGCCGCCCGCUACUACGGCACUGGCACUGCGGCUCUGCACCCUGUCCCUCGCAGCCUGGCAAGUCCAGCUGCCACUCUCACUGCGGAGGCCUGCCCCCGGGCGCAGAGCCCGCCCCCGCCACACACACACACACGCGCGCGCGCGCGCACACACACGCGCCACACGCAGACACGCGCGCCCACACACCAAUGCGGUUCCGUUCAGUGGGAACCCGUGUCCCUCUGGUGCAACUUGGGCGCGGACAUCACGACGGCGCUUCUUGCUGGCAGCACUUUGGUUUCGGAGGAGGAGGAGGAGGAGUCAGGAGUUUGGGGGCGCAGAAAGGACGCAGCAGUGCUGGGCGCCAGAGGCCAGCUCACCCGGAGCUGGAGGACACGUUUGACAAAAUACACGAGAAAUCCCCCCGGGCAUUUCCUUUUCUCAGCCUAGAAACCUCGGGGUCUAGGUUAGCUUAAAUAUCCCAAUCAAAUCAGAGAAAAAUUAUAAAUAAAAGAUGAACAAGUUCUGUUUGCCAGGAACUCAGUGCCUCUAGCAUCCAAAUCAUCAGCCCUGUGUGUGUGUGUGUGUGUGUGUGUGUGUGUGUGUGUGUGGUGGUUCUGACAACCCUGGUCGGGUGGCCGUGGACUGGUGGCUGGUCAGCCUGAACAGGUUUUCUCCUCUGCAGACCCGUAUGGUGGGGACUCUGGCAGCCCUGCAGAGCUGGGCUCCAAAGAAUGGGUCAAAUCUCAGGGCCGACCUCCUAAACUCCCCACUUUACUUUCAAAG